AUUGAACGCUGGCGGCAUGCUUUACACAUGCAAGUCGAACGGCAGCGCGGGGCAACCUGGCGGCGAGUGGCGAACGGGUGAGUAAUAUAUCGGAACGUACCCAGAAGUGGGGGAUAACGUAGCGAAAGUUACGCUAAUACCGCAUACGAUCUACGGAUGAAAGUGGGGGACCUUCGGGCCUCAUGCUUUUGGAGCGGCCGAUAUCUGAUUAGCUAGUUGGUGAGGUAAAGGCUCACCAAGGCGACGAUCAGUAGCUGGCCUGAGAGGACGACCAGCCACACUGGGACUGAGACACGGACCAGACUCCUACGGGAGGCAGCAGUGAGGAAUAUUGGACAAUGGGCGCAAGCCUGAUCCAGCCAUGCCGCGUGCAGGAAGAAGCAUCUAUGGUGUGUAAACUGCUUUUGUACGGGAAGAA
Molecule: ribosomal RNA, 418 nt
Filed under: uncultured bacterium
Lineage: Bacteria
Description: bacterial SSU rRNA
Rfam family: Bacterial small subunit ribosomal RNA
Source: RNAcentral